GAGUUUGAUUCUGGCUCAGAUUGAACGCUGGCGGCAUGCUUUACACAUGCAAGUCGAACGGCAGCACGAGUGCUUGCACUUGGUGGCGAGUGGCGAACGGGUGAGUAAUGCAUUGGAACGUGCCUUGUAUUGGGGGAUAACUGAGCGAAAGCUUAGCUAAUACCGCAUACGCCCUGAUGGGGAAAGCUGGGGAUCGUUUGACCUGGCGAUAUAAGAGCGGCCAAUGUCUGAUUAGCUAGUUGGUGAGGUAAAGGCUUACCAAGGCGACGGUCAGUAGCGGGUCUGAGAGGAUGAUCCGCCACACUGGGACUGAGAGACGGCCCAGACUCCUACGGGAGGCAGCAGUGGAGAAUUUUGGACAAUGGGGGGAACCCUGAUCCAGCCAUGCCGCGUGUCUGAAGAAGGCCUUCGGGUUGUAAAGGACUUUUGUUGGGGAGCAAAGGUAUCUGGUUAAGAGCUGGAGAUUAUGAGA
Molecule: ribosomal RNA, 472 nt
Filed under: Aquaspirillum sp. canine oral taxon 091
Lineage: Bacteria; Pseudomonadati; Pseudomonadota; Betaproteobacteria; Neisseriales; Aquaspirillaceae
Description: bacterial SSU rRNA
Rfam family: Bacterial small subunit ribosomal RNA
Source: RNAcentral